Molecule: ribosomal RNA, 464 nt
Filed under: uncultured bacterium
Lineage: Bacteria
Description: partial 16S ribosomal RNA
Rfam family: Bacterial small subunit ribosomal RNA
Source: RNAcentral
GACGAACGCUGGCGGCGUGCUUAACACAUGCAAGUCGAACGAUGAAGCCAGCUUGCUGGUGGAUUAGUGGCGCACGGGUGAGUAACACGUGGGUGAUCUGCCCCAAACUUUGGGAUAAGCCUGGGAAACUGGGUCUAAUACCGAAUAUGACCGAUACUCGCAUGGGUGUUGGUGGAAAGCUCCGGCGGUUUGGGAUGGGCCCGCGGCCUAUCAGCUUGUUGGUGGGGUAAUGGCCUACCAAGGCGACGACGGGUAGCCGGCCUGAGAGGGCGACCGGCCACACGGGGACUGAGACACGGCCCAGACGCCUACGGGAGGCAGCAGUGGGGAAUAUUGCACAAUGGGCGCAAGCCUGAUGCAGAGACGCCGCGUGAGGGAUGACGGCCUUCGGGUUGUAAACCUCUUUCACCAGGGACGAAGCGAAAGUGACGGUACCUGGAGAAGAAGCACCGGCCAACUACGUG